ACCUAGAAACAAUUAUUCUAGAAACGCUGCAUAUCCUAGAACAAACAGUAGGAGAAAUGAUUUUCAAGGAUUGCGCAAUAGCCAUAUUGUCACAAAUAGAGCAAACGAUUUUCGUACCUCCAACUACUACCAACCUAGAAGAAUGCAUAAUCCUAAUGUCAUUUGUCACUAUUGUAGUAGAAUAGGACAUAUUGCUUCUGCUUGUUUUACUAGACACA
Molecule: long non-coding RNA, 218 nt
Filed under: Nicotiana benthamiana
Lineage: Eukaryota; Viridiplantae; Streptophyta; Magnoliopsida; Solanales; Solanaceae
Description: long non-coding RNA (NBEN_LNC028375)
Source: RNAcentral